CUUUAACGAUACAAAUGCGCUGUCGAAUGAUGAUGUUAAUUUUUCCAUCUCAUGGCAGUUGAUAGUUUGUGCCAUUUCAGUUUGGACAGUUGUGAUUAUAUUCUUUUAUUAAUUUUUCAAUACCAAAAAGUUUGGUCAAAUUAUCCGUUAUACCGUUUGGAUAUCACUGGUACUUUUCUUAAUAUUAUUAAUACGCCUUAGCUUUUUACCCGGUACGGAUGAUGUAUUUAAACGUGAUAUGACACUUGAUUGGGAUGAAGUUAUUGAAUUGACUGUGUUAAUACCGGUUUAUGGUAUAACAGCUUUUGGACCCGGCUGGGGUAUCUUCAUAACAUUAUCAAGUUUUAAUAAAUUCAAAACGAAUAUUAUGAAACAUAGUUGGAUAAUUGCCAUUGGUCAGUUGGGUAUAGUUAUUGGUUUGGAAGUGAUAUUUCAUUACAUACAGGAAUAUUUCUUUGAACAGCCUGUUUAUUAUUAUCCGUCGGAUGAGGAAAAAAUUUGGUUUUUACAUUUAGCAACCGCAAGUGCUAUAUCCCAUUUGGAUUGGCCAAACUUGUGGUCAGUUUUAUUUUAUUUAAUGCUGUUUUUAUCGGGAAUGCUUUUAAUUAUUAUGCAAUUAUAUACAAUAUUGACCUCAAUAUUUGAUGAAUUCGCAAACUUGAGAGAGCAUAGAGUGAAAGUACGCAUAGGUCUAAUAGCCGUCACAGCUUUCAUUUCAUUAUACUUCACCUCUAAUCAUGGUCUAGUACAUUUCGUCACACUCUUGACCGAUGUAUAUGUUUCGCAAACUGUUAUUAAUUUACUACUAAUAUUGGUCGUAUUAUGGGUCUAUGGUCGUGUGCGUUUUCAACGUGAUAUAUAAUUUAUGAUAAAUAAACGUUUUUCCACAUGGAAAAUUUAUGUGCUCAGAUUUGUGGUGUCUUUGGGAAUAUUGCAGGCUUUGUAUUAUGGUGUUAUUUUGGUCAGCCAUUUCCAUUAUUCAACACAUCCUUUAAUGACAGUCUUGGCUGUUAUAUUUAUUAUCAUUCCAUGGCUGUUAAUACCCGUCUAUGGUUUCUAUUGUAUGUGCCAGAAAAAAGAAGGUUCAAGUAAGUCCCCUUUACGGCAUAGUUGCAAACCGCACGAUUGGCAUCCUGUUGAGCAAGAGCAGCGUCAGCGUUAUAAAAACGAUUUUGAAAAUAUUAAUAGUAACCAUCAACUUAAUGAAAUUAACGAUAAUAAUGUAAUGGCAAUUUAAAGUACAAACAAUAUAACAUAUAAUUUGCUAUUUAAGUACAUCUUUGUAAAUACUAAUAUGAGAUUUAAGAAUAUCAGAUUGAUAGUUUUUAUGAGGUCUUAAGUCAAAUACGGAAAGACUCUAAAGUUUUUAAUAAAAUGAUUUAUUUCUAAUUAACAAAUAUCUUAUUCAUAGAAGUGAAAAUUCGGAACCAUCUAAU
Molecule: RNA transcript, 1436 nt
Organism: Lucilia cuprina (Australian sheep blowfly)
Lineage: Eukaryota; Metazoa; Arthropoda; Insecta; Diptera; Calliphoridae
Gene name: sodium-dependent acetylcholine transporter-like
Exons: 6
Source: RefSeq, a predicted model, not a curated record